CCCCUAGAUGUUCUGGGCCGCACGCGCGCUACACUGAACAGUUCAACAAGUCUUAACCUUGGCCGAUAGGUCUGGGUAAUCUUUGAACGCUGUUCGUGAUUGGGAUAGACCUUUGCAAUUAUGGGUCUUCAACGAGGAAUUCCUAGUAAACGCAAGUCAUCAGCUUGCAUUGAUUACGUCCCUGCCCUUUGUACACACCGCCCGUCGCACCUACCGAGUGAAUGGUCCGGUGAAAUCUCGGGACGGCGGCUUGGUCGCUUGCGUCCGACUGCUGAAACUUGAUUAAACCAUAUCAUUUAGAGGAAGGUGAAGUCGUAACA
This 320-nucleotide ribosomal RNA is filed under the name uncultured eukaryote. RNAcentral's name for it is "partial 18S ribosomal RNA". It matches the Rfam family "Eukaryotic small subunit ribosomal RNA", at positions 1470 to 1796 of the family's 1831-position model. The record is from RNAcentral.